GUGCGGGAGGGAGCGAAGCAACGCAGGCAGCGAGCGAGAUGCAGCACCGAGGCUUCCUCCUUCUCACCCUCCUCGCCCUGCUGGCGCUCACUUCUGCAGUGGCCAAACAGAAAGACAAGGUGAAGAAGGGCGGCCCGUGGAGUGAGUGUGCGGAGUGGGCCUGGGGGCCCUGCACCCCCAGCAGCAAGGAUUGCGGCGUGGGUUUCCGCGAGGGCACCUGCGGGGCCCAGACCCAGCGCAUCCGGUGCAGGGUGCCCUGCAAUUGGAAGAAGGAGUUUGGAGUCGACUGCAAGUACAAGUUUGAGAACUGGGGUGCGUGUGACGGGGGCACAGGCACCAAAGUCCGCCAAGGCACCGUGAAGAAGGCGCGCUACAAUGCCCAGUGCCAGGAGACUAUCUGCAUCACCAAGCCCUGCACCCCCAAGACCAAAGCCAAGGCCAAAGCCAAGAAAGGGAAGGGAAAGGACUAGAGGCCAAGCCUGGAUGCCAAGGAGCCCCUGGUGUUACAUGGGGCCUGGCCCACGCCCUCCCUCUUCCAGGCCCGAGAUAUGACCCACCAGUGCCUUCUGUCGCUCGUUAGCUUUAAUCAAUCAUUCCUUGCCUUGUCCCUCUCACUUCCCAGCCCCACCGCUAAGUGCCCAAAGUGGGGAGGGACAAGGGAUUCUGGGAAGCUUUAGCU
Molecule: RNA transcript, 679 nt
Organism: Rhinopithecus roxellana (golden snub-nosed monkey)
Lineage: Eukaryota; Metazoa; Chordata; Mammalia; Primates; Cercopithecidae
Gene name: midkine pseudogene
Exons: 1
Source: RefSeq, a predicted model, not a curated record